AUUGAACGCUGGCGGCAGGCUUAACACAUGCAAGUCGAGCGGUAACAGAGAGAAGCUUGCUUCUCUGCUGACGAGCGGCGGACGGGUGAGUAAUGCCUAGGAAUCUGCCUAGUAGUGGGGGAUAACUUGCCGAAAGGUAAGCUAAUACCGCAUACGUCCUGCGGGAGAAAGGAGGGGACCUUCGGGCCUUUCGCUAUUAGAUGAGCCUAGGUCGGAUUAGUUAGUUGGUGAGGUAAUGGCUCACCAAGACCGCGAUCCGUAACUGGUCUGAGAGGAUGAUCAGUCACACUGGAACUGAGACACGGUCCAGACUCCUACGGGAGGCAGCAGUGGGGAAUAUUGGACAAUGGGCGAAAGCCUGAUCCAGCCAUGCCGCGUGUGUGAAGAAGGUCUUCGGAUUGUAAAGCACUUUAAGUUGGGAGGAAGGGUAUUCACCUAAUACGUGGGUACUUUGACGUUACCAACAGAAUAAGCACCGGCUAACUCUGUGCCAGCAGCCGCCGUAA
RNAcentral lists this ribosomal RNA (506 nucleotides) under uncultured bacterium. RNAcentral's name for it is "partial 16S ribosomal RNA". It matches the Rfam family "Bacterial small subunit ribosomal RNA", at positions 30 to 523 of the family's 1533-position model. The record is from RNAcentral.